RNAcentral lists this ribosomal RNA (722 nucleotides) under Streptococcus sp. HXF0086. Its description in RNAcentral is "bacterial SSU rRNA". It matches the Rfam family "Bacterial small subunit ribosomal RNA", at positions 66 to 771 of the family's 1533-position model. The record is from RNAcentral. Lineage: Bacteria; Bacillati; Bacillota; Bacilli; Lactobacillales; Streptococcaceae.
ACGCUGAAGCUUGGUGCUUGCACCGAGCGGAUGAGUUGCGAACGGGUGAGUAACGCGUAGGUAACCUGCCUCUUAGCGGGGGAUAACUAUUGGAAACGAUAGCUAAUACCGCAUAAAAGUCAACAUUGCAUGAUGUUGACUUGAAAGGUGCAAAUGCAUCACUAAGAGAUGGACCUGCGUUGUAUUAGCUAGUUGGUGAGGUAACGGCUCACCAAGGCGACGAUACAUAGCCGACCUGAGAGGGUGAUCGGCCACACUGGGACUGAGACACGGCCCAGACUCCUACGGGAGGCAGCAGUAGGGAAUCUUCGGCAAUGGACGGAAGUCUGACCGAGCAACGCCGCGUGAGUGAAGAAGGUUUUCGGAUCGUAAAGCUCUGUUGUAAGAGAAGAACGAGUGUGAGAGUGGAAAGUUCACACUGUGACGGUAACUUACCAGAAAGGGACGGCUAACUACGUGCCAGCAGCCGCGGUAAUACGUAGGUCCCGAGCGUUAUCCGGAUUUAUUGGGCGUAAAGCGAGCGCAGGCGGUUAGAUAAGUCUGAAGUUAAAGGCUGUGGCUUAACCAUAGUACGCUUUGGAAACUGUUUAACUUGAGUGCAGAAGGGGAGAGUGGAAUUCCAUGUGUAGCGGUGAAAUGCGUAGAUAUAUGGAGGAACACCGGUGGCGAAAGCGGCUCUCUGGUCUGUAACUGACGCUGAGGCUCGAAAGCGUGGGGAGCAA